Molecule: ribosomal RNA, 472 nt
Filed under: Streptococcus mitis
Lineage: Bacteria; Bacillati; Bacillota; Bacilli; Lactobacillales; Streptococcaceae
Description: bacterial SSU rRNA
Rfam family: Bacterial small subunit ribosomal RNA
Source: RNAcentral
GACGAACGCUGGCGGCGUGCCUAAUACAUGCAAGUAGAACCCUGAAGGAGGAGCUUGCUUCUCCGGAUGAGUUGCGAACGGGUGAGUAACGCGUAGGUAACCUGCCUGGUAGCGGGGGAUAACUAUUGGAAACGAUAGCUAAUACCGCAUAAGAGUAGAUGUUGCAUGACAUUUGCUUAAAAGGUGCAAUUGCAUCACUACCAGAUGGACCUGCGUUGUAUUAGCUAGUUGGUGGGGUAACGGCUCACCAAGGCGACGAUACAUAGCCGACCUGAGAGGGUGAUCGGCCACACUGGGACUGAGACACGGCCCAGACUCCUACGGGAGGCAGCAGUAGGGAAUCUUCGGCAAUGGACGGAAGUCUGACCGAGCAACGCCGCGUGAGUGAAGAAGGUUUUCGGAUCGUAAAGCUCUGUUGUAAGAGAAGAACGAGUGUGAGAGUGGAAAGUUCACACUGUGACGGUAUCUACCA